CUUUCAAACUAAACUGCUUGUGUUCUUUGGUAUAUUGAAGCAUACCUACAGCGGCAUCGGAUUGUUGCAGAUGAUUGUUUAUGGUAAUGAGAGACUCGAUAGUGCUAAUGCUAACUUCCUCUUUCGUCUCUUGAACGAAUUGUAAUUCUGUAUAAUGCAGAGCCUUGGCAUAAACAUUACACUUAGAUGCAUGAGCACUAAU
Molecule: non-coding RNA, 202 nt
Organism: Schizosaccharomyces pombe (fission yeast)
Lineage: Eukaryota; Fungi; Ascomycota; Schizosaccharomycetes; Schizosaccharomycetales; Schizosaccharomycetaceae
Source: the annotation of a GenBank genome assembly